This 1509-nucleotide unclassified non-coding RNA is filed under the name Anthonomus grandis grandis. RNAcentral's name for it is "luc7-like protein 3". The record is from RNAcentral. Lineage: Eukaryota; Metazoa; Arthropoda; Insecta; Coleoptera; Curculionidae.
ACCAAUCAGAAUCGUUGGUCGCCAUUUAUUCCAUACAACAUGGAGUGUGUUAGUUGACCUUUCAAAAUUUGUCAUCAGCAAGUUUCUAGUUUUCAAUAUUGAUUUAUCACAUUGGAGUAAAAACUAUUGAAACUGGACUUUCCUAUCCCAGCUUGCAGGAUCGGCGAACUAAAGCUCCGUUCAAACAAAUUAACAUAUUAUUCUUAGUAGUAAGACUAAUAUAAGCUAUGGCUGUGUUUGCAGCUGCCCAACUGUUGGAUGAACUCAUGGGUAGGCACAGAAAUGUGGCCCCCAAUGAAAAAGUACAGACUACUGAUUGGGAAGACCCAGAGUUUUGUAAAUUCUUCAUGGUAAAGUUUUGCCCUCAUGAUCUUUUUGUCAACACCAGAGCUGAUUUGGGGCCCUGCUUAAAAACCCAUGAUGAAGAAGCCAAAAAACUAUUUGAGGAAGCAAAAAAGACCCAUUUCAAAAAAAUCCAAUAUCAAGAAGAUUUCAUAAGGUUCUGCACCUCCAUGUUGAAUGAUGUUGAAAGAAAAAUAGUUAAAGGUAGACAAAGAUUGGCGUUGAGCGGUAAAAAUGUCUUGGCCUCCACAAAUCCGCAAUUAGCUGAAAAAAAUGCAGAAAAAAUUGGUGUAUUAAAUGAGCGAAUCAAUGAGCUAGAAAAAGAGGCUGAACAGGCUGGUACUGAUGGAAAUGUAGAGCAAGCUCAGGGUUUAAUGAAGCUGUGUGACCAAUUAAAAGAAGAAAGAGACUCAUUGAAAAGAGCUGAACUAGGUACCUUGGGUCUUACAGCACAACUAGCAGUCGAACAGGAGAAGCAAAUGGAAGUCUGUGAGGUUUGUGGGGCUUUUUUGAUUGUCGGGGAUGCACAGCAGAGAAUUGAUGAUCAUUUAAUGGGUAAACAGCAUAUGGGCUAUAUGAGGCUUAAAACUGCUUUAGAAGAAAUCACUGAUCUGGUUAGGGAGCUUAAGGAACCUAAGAAGUUUGGUAGAGAGGGAGAGAGGAGCAGGGAUAGGGAUAGGAGCCGCUCAAGACAAAAAAUGGGAGAAAAAGAGAAGAGGAAUGAUGAUAGAUAUGGAAAAGAAAGGAGGCAUAGAGGUCACAGUAGAGAUGAGGAAGGAAAACAGGGUGAGAGGUCCAGAGAUAAGGAAAGAAGACACCAUUCGGAUAAGGAAGACCGCCACAGACAUCACCACCAUCAUCACCACCAUUCGCACCGUCACCGCCGUUAAAACAGGCACACCUACUAAUUUAAUCUAUAAUAGACCAGUAAGAGUUGCCCCAAGCAGCUUUGGGCCAAUAAAAGGACCUUGAAGCUGAUUCCAGGAUCUUCUGAAGAUAAUUAUUUAUGUUAUUUCCAAGAGAGAUAUCCCCUCUGUCUGUUGCAGCAAAGCAGGUGACUUAGUUAGUAAUUUUUAAUAAUAAUAAUUGUAAUUAUUAUAUUAAUUAUUUACUUUUAAUUGUGUAAUGUAAUGUUAAUUUUUAAAAGAAAUAGAUUUUUUCAGUGGG